Molecule: non-coding RNA, 72 nt
Organism: Daphnia pulex (common water flea)
Lineage: Eukaryota; Metazoa; Arthropoda; Branchiopoda; Diplostraca; Daphniidae
Source: Rfam
UCCCAUAUGGUCUAGUGGCUAGGAUACCUGGCUUUCACCCAGGAGACUCGGGUUCGAUUCCCGGUAUGGGAA